UGGGGAAUCUUCCGCAAUGGACGAAAGUCUGACGGAGCAACGCCGCGUGAGUGAAGAAGGUUUUCGGAUCGUAAAACUCUGUCUUUUGGGGCGAACGUGAGUAUGGUGAACAAUCAUAGUCAGUGACGGUACCAAAGGAGGAAGCCACGGCUAACUACGUGCCAGCAGCCGCGGUAAUACGUAGGUGGCAAGCGUUGUCCGGAAUUAUUGGGCGUAAAGAGCGCGUAGGCGGGAUAGUCAGUCUGUUGUAAAGUGCGGGGCUCAACCCCGUGAUGGCAAUGGAAACAGCUAUUCUUGAGUGCAGGAGAGGAAAGUGGAAUUCCCAGUGUAGCGGUGAAAUGCGUAGAUAUUGGGAGGAACACCAGUGGCGAAGGCGACUUUCUGGACUGUGUCUGACGCUGAGGCGCGAAAGCCAGGGGAGCGAACGGGAUUAGAUACCCCGGUAGUCCUGGCCGUAAACGAUGGGUACUAGGUGUGGGAGGUAUCGACCCCUUCCGUGCCGGAGUUAACGCAAUAAGUACCCCGCCUGGGGAGUACGGUCGCAAGACUGAAACUUAAAUGAAUUGACGGGGUCAUAGCUGUUU
This 584-nucleotide ribosomal RNA is filed under the name uncultured bacterium. RNAcentral's name for it is "partial 16S ribosomal RNA". It matches the Rfam family "Bacterial small subunit ribosomal RNA", at positions 355 to 935 of the family's 1533-position model. The record is from RNAcentral.